UACGUAGGGACCAAGCGUUGUUCGGAUUUACUGGGCGUAAAGGGCGCGUAGGCGGCAAUUCAAGUCAGCUGUGAAAUCUCCGGGCUUAACUCGGAACGGUCAGCUGAUACUGCUUUGCUAGAGUGCAGAAGGGGCAAUCGGAAUUCCCAGUGUAGCGGUGAAAUGCGUAGAUAUUGGGAAGAACACCUGAGGCGAAGGCGGGUUGCUGGGCCGACACUGACGCUGAGGCGCGAAAGCCAGGGGAGCAAACGGG
This 253-nucleotide ribosomal RNA is filed under the name uncultured bacterium. Its description in RNAcentral is "partial 16S ribosomal RNA". It matches the Rfam family "Bacterial small subunit ribosomal RNA", at positions 524 to 776 of the family's 1533-position model. The record is from RNAcentral.